Molecule: ribosomal RNA, 798 nt
Filed under: Triticum aestivum (bread wheat)
Lineage: Eukaryota; Viridiplantae; Streptophyta; Magnoliopsida; Poales; Poaceae
Description: partial small subunit ribosomal RNA
Source: RNAcentral
AUGAAAAGUUUGUCAUGGGCUCUUGCAGCCUCUAAAAACUUCUAUAGAUGGAUCCCUGGGGAUGGUAAAAGCAUUGCCUUCUGGCAUGACAUCUGGAUUGGGGAUUGUUCUCUUAAAACUGUAUUUUGGGACCUGUAUACUAUUUGUCAACAACAAGAUUCUACCCUUGCGCAGAUCUGGGUGAGUGGCGAAUUACACUUAACUUUUAGGAGGUGUUUUGUGGAAAGUACCUUAGUUAGAUGGAAGGAGCUCAUCAAGGUUGUUGAGCCAGUGUGUCUAUCUGGUUCCCCAGACCAUCCUGUCUGGAUGCUGGAUUCUUCCAGCAAGUACUCUGUCAAAUCCUUUCAUAAGGUAAUUAACUUUGGAGGGAUAUCAUCUGUAAUUAAAGAUGAUAUCUGGAAAAUCAGAGUCCCACCCAAUAUCCAUGUUUUCCUCUGGUUGAUCUACUAUAAUAAGAGCUUAACUAGAGAUAAUCUUGCCAAGCGCAGGCAUGUAGAUGACAUGUCUUGUGUCUUUUGCAGUGAGCCUGAAACUAUCCAACAUUUAUUCUUUGAGUGUAUUGUUGCUAGACAUGUUUGGGAUUUGGUAGCUAAUAGCUUUAAUGUUACUGCACCUGAUUCCUUUGUUCUGUUGGCUUCCUUCUGGAAGAGGAGAAAAUAUUUUGAAGCUUUAAACAUUGUUACUGCUGCUAUCUUGUGGAGCUUAUGGCGUUUCCGAAAUGACUUUGUUUUCCAAGGGCAAAGAUCGCGAAGUAUACGAUGUGUUUUGGACCUGUUGGGGGCAACGAUCAGGCAAUGA